RNAcentral lists this ribosomal RNA (305 nucleotides) under uncultured bacterium. RNAcentral describes it as "bacterial SSU rRNA". It matches the Rfam family "Bacterial small subunit ribosomal RNA", at positions 335 to 657 of the family's 1533-position model. The record is from RNAcentral.
AUGCCUACGGGAGGCAGCAGUGGGGAAUAUUGCACAAUGGGGGGAACCCUGAUGCAGCGACGCCGCGUGGGUGAGGAAGUACUUCGGUAUGUAAAGCCCUAUCAGCAGGGAAGAAAAUGACGGUACCUGACUAAGAAGCCCCGGCUAACUACGUGCCAGCGGCCGCGGUAAUACGUAGGGGGCAAGCGUUAUCCGGAUUUACUGGGUGUAAAGGGAGCGUAGACGGCGAUGCAAGUCUGAAGUGAAAGCCCGGGGCUCAACCCCGGGACUGCUUUGGAAACUGUAUGGCUGGAGUGCUGGAGAGG